RNAcentral lists this ribosomal RNA (113 nucleotides) under Methylobacterium radiotolerans. The record is from RNAcentral. Lineage: Bacteria; Pseudomonadati; Pseudomonadota; Alphaproteobacteria; Hyphomicrobiales; Methylobacteriaceae.
CCUGACGACCAUAGCAAGGUGGUCCCACUCCUUCCCAUCCCGAACAGGACAGUGAAACGCCUUUGCGCCGAUGAUAGUGGACGGACGUCUGUGAAAGUAGGUCAUCGUCAAGC